UCAGACGAUGCGUCAUGCAUAUCAAUAAGCGGAGGAAAAGAAACUAACAAGGAUUCCCUCAGUAACGGCGAGUGAAGCGGGAAGAGCUCAAAUUUGAAAUCUUGCAAGGUUUACCUUUCACGAAUUGUAGUUUAAAGAAGUGUUUUCUGUUAAGAUUUGGUAAUAAGUUCUUUGGAAUAGGGACAUCAUAGAGGGUGAGAAUCCCGUAUAUUGACCAUUGGAUUUGUCAGCUUUGUGAUACACUUUCAAAGAGUCGGGUUGUUUGGGAAUGCAGCCCAAAACGGGAGGUAAAUUUCUUCUAAGGCUAAAUAUUGGCGAGAGACCGAUAGCGAACAAGUACCGUGAGGGAAAGAUGAAAAGAACUUUGAAAAGAGAGUUAAAUAGUACGUGAAAUUGUCAAAAGGGAAGCGUUUAACACCAGUGUUGUUUUCUGAAAAUCAACCUCUGUUAGCUUUAUGCAUGUUUGUUUAGACCUAAUCAGCUAUCUUGCAUGUUCUAUUGUUUGCAGUGGUGCACUUUUCAGUUUACAGGUCAACAUCAGUUUUUUUUACCGUAAAAAAGUUAAAGAAAGGUAGCUCAUGGCUCCGGUCGUGAGUGUUAUAGUCUUUUUCCUAUGCGGUAGGAGAGACUGAGGUCUGCAGUGUAGGCUAUUUGGCUAGAUACUCAGGUGCUAUGUGAUACCAUUUCAUAAACAACUUGUUGAUUAUGUUUUGUCUAUUGCAUACUCGCUUGUACUAUCAUACCUACGCUUAGGAUGUUGAUCUGUAGUGCGUGCGC
This 777-nucleotide ribosomal RNA is filed under the name uncultured Neocallimastigales. RNAcentral describes it as "partial large subunit ribosomal RNA". It matches the Rfam family "Eukaryotic large subunit ribosomal RNA", at positions 18 to 634 of the family's 3401-position model. The record is from RNAcentral. Lineage: Eukaryota; Fungi; Neocallimastigomycota; Neocallimastigomycetes; Neocallimastigales.